This 253-nucleotide ribosomal RNA is filed under the name uncultured bacterium. RNAcentral describes it as "partial 16S ribosomal RNA". It matches the Rfam family "Bacterial small subunit ribosomal RNA", at positions 524 to 776 of the family's 1533-position model. The record is from RNAcentral.
GACGUAGGAGGCGAGCGUUGUCCGGAUUCAUUGGGCGUAAAGAGCUCGUAGGCGGUUUGUUGCGUCGGCUGUGAAAUCCCGAGGCUCAACCUCGGGUCUGCAGUCGAUACGAGCAAACUAGAGUGUUGCAGGGGAGACUGGAAUUCCUGGUGUAGCGGUGAAAUGCGCAGAUAUCAGGAAGAACACCAGUGGCGAAAGCAGCUCUCUGGGACGGUACUGACGCUGAGACGCGAAAGCGUGGGGAGCGAACAGG